ACGUAUUUCUCUCUCACCACUCAGCCGCAGGUUUCCCUGUCACACACACGUGCGAUCCCUCACCACACGUGUGUAAUUCUUUUAUAUAUGUUAUAUACUGUAUAUAAUUUUUUGUCAAACUAGUUCUCUAUGGACAGCUUUCGUGAUAGAAUUAUAGAGAGAAAAUCGAGAUGACGCAAGCGGUGAGGAAAGGAGCAGAAGAGGGCGUGAUACGAGGACACGUGUCUCAUGUUAGUACAAACAAAGAUUGGACAAGAGCCGGACGGCACGGUGACCUCUGUCAACAACUGUUACCGUUUCUUCUAAUCUAUUUGUUAAUCUCCUAAGUAAUGUAAUUAAUUAGUUUUCACUGUUCAUAAUUAAUCAAGUAAUAAUAACAUAAGAAAUGAAAUGGGAGCGUUACUUGUAUACC
Molecule: long non-coding RNA, 412 nt
Organism: Arabidopsis thaliana (thale cress)
Lineage: Eukaryota; Viridiplantae; Streptophyta; Magnoliopsida; Brassicales; Brassicaceae
Product: other RNA
Exons: 2
Source: RefSeq